This 407-nucleotide ribosomal RNA is filed under the name uncultured bacterium. RNAcentral describes it as "partial 16S ribosomal RNA". It matches the Rfam family "Bacterial small subunit ribosomal RNA", at positions 28 to 526 of the family's 1533-position model. The record is from RNAcentral.
GACGAACGCUGGCGGCGUGCCUAAUACAUGCAAGUAGGACGCAGUUGCGAACGGGUGAGUAACGCGUAGGUAACUACCUAUUAGAGGGGGAUAACUAUUGGAAACGAUAGCUAAUACCGCAUACUAGUAGAUGGACCUGCGUUGUAUUAGCUAGUAGGUAGGGUAAUGGCCUACCUAGGCAACGAUACAUCGCCGACCUGAGGGGGUGAUCGGCCCAACUGGGACUUGGAAAUGGCCCAGAACCCCACGGGAGGCAGCAGUAGGGAAUCUUCGGCAAUGGGGGGAACCCUGACCGCACAACGCCGCGUGAGUGAAGAAGGUUUUCGGAGUGUAAAGGUCUGUUGUUAAGGGAGCGGUACUUAACCAGAAAGGGACGGCUAACUACGUGCCAGCAGCCGCGGUAAUAC